AACGAACGCUGGCGGCAUGCCUAACACAUGCAAGUCGAACGAGACCUUCGGGUCUUUUGGCGCACGGGUUCGUAACGCGUGGGAACCUUCCCUUAUGGUCGGAAUAACUCCCCGAAAGGGGUGCUAAUACCGGAUAAUGUCUUCUGACCGAAGAUUUAUCGCCUUUGGAUGUUCCCGCGUUGGAUUAGCUAGUUGGUAGGGUAAAAGCCUACCAAGGCGACGAUCCCUAGCUGGUCUGAGAGACAGAUCAGCGACACUGGGACUGAGAAACGGCCCAGACUCCUACGGGAGGGAGGAGUGGCGGAUAUUGGAACAUGGGGGAAAGGAUGAUCGACCACUGACGGGUGAGCGAUGAAGGCAUUAGGGUUGUAAAGCUCUUUUACCCGGGAUCAUAAUGACAGUACCGGGAGAAUAAGCUCCGGCUAACUCCGUG
RNAcentral lists this ribosomal RNA (433 nucleotides) under uncultured bacterium. Its description in RNAcentral is "partial 16S ribosomal RNA". It matches the Rfam family "Bacterial small subunit ribosomal RNA", at positions 29 to 507 of the family's 1533-position model. The record is from RNAcentral.